RNAcentral lists this transfer RNA (77 nucleotides) under Acidithiobacillus sp. HP-2. Its description in RNAcentral is "tRNA-OTHER". RNAcentral also lists the same sequence under 1 other name. Lineage: Bacteria; Pseudomonadati; Pseudomonadota; Acidithiobacillia; Acidithiobacillales; Acidithiobacillaceae. The record is from RNAcentral.
GCCCAAAAAUAAGCGGUUUCAGGACUUAAAAUCCCUCGGUUUAUACCGUGCCGGUUCGAGUCCGGCCCUGGGCACCA